AUUGAACGCUGGCGGCAGGCCUAACACAUGCAAGUCGAACGGUAACAGGAAGCAGCUUGCUGCUUUGCUGACGAGUGGCGGACGGGUGAGUAAUGUCUGGGAAACUGCCUGAUGGAGGGGGAUAACUACUGGAAACGGUAGCUAAUACCGCAUAACGUCGCAAGACCAAAGAGGGGGACCUUCGGGCCUCUUGCCAUCGGAUGUGCCCAGAUGGGAUUAGCUAGUAGGUGGGGUAACGGCUCACCUAGGCGACGAUCCCUAGCUGGUCUGAGAGGAUGACCAGCCACACUGGAACUGAGACACGGUCCAGACUCCUACGGGAGGCAGCAGUGGGGAAUAUUGCACAAUGGGCGCAAGCCUGAUGCAGCCAUGCCGCGUGUAUGAAGAAGGCCUUCGGGUUGUAAAGUACUUUCAGCGGGGAGGAAGGGAGUAAAGUUAAUACCUUUGCUCAUUGACGUUACCCGGAGAAGAAGCACCGGCUAACUCCGUG
RNAcentral lists this ribosomal RNA (490 nucleotides) under uncultured bacterium. Its description in RNAcentral is "partial 16S ribosomal RNA". It matches the Rfam family "Bacterial small subunit ribosomal RNA", at positions 30 to 507 of the family's 1533-position model. The record is from RNAcentral.